CAUAUGGAAGUCCUGCCUUACCUAUUUCGUGUACGUGCCAAUCAAUUUCCUGAUAUUUUUUAUCCUAGUUUUGAGGUGCUAGAUGGAGGAUUUUGGGUAUACAUUGAGCAAUGUCAUGGAAAGUUCAUCGACAAUCCAUCUAAGUUCCAAUUCUCAUACGCAAUGCAAGAAUAUGUGCUGGGGAUUCGAAUGAAGGAGUCCAAGCCAUGGAAAUACGUAAAUCAUUUGUUGAUUCCACUAAACAAGCGCAACAUACAUUGGGUGGUAGGGCACGUGGACUUAAAAGAGCGUCGCAUGACUGUAUAUGAUUAAGAUAAGGCUGGUAACCGAUACAAGGGACAAAUUUAUUUCCAGAAAUUAUGCAUAAUGUUACCAUAUUUACUGCGGUCUGCAUCCUUUUAUGAGCAGCGGCCGGAUCUUGUAGACUCCGUUGACGAGUUUACAUGUGAAUUGGCACAAAAUACCCCUCAGCAAAGUAACGGUGGUGACUGUGGCAUAUUUACACUCAAGACCAUCGAAUUCUUACAUGCUAGAUUACCAUUGACAUUCACACAAGAUAACAUGGAGUUCUUUAGGAAGAAGUAUGCGUAUGAGGUUUACAACAA
This is a long non-coding RNA of Ziziphus jujuba (common jujube), 605 nucleotides long. RefSeq lists it as uncharacterized. The record is from RefSeq and is a predicted model, not a curated record. The transcript is spliced from 4 exons. Lineage: Eukaryota; Viridiplantae; Streptophyta; Magnoliopsida; Rosales; Rhamnaceae.